Molecule: ribosomal RNA, 499 nt
Filed under: uncultured bacterium
Lineage: Bacteria
Description: partial 16S ribosomal RNA
Rfam family: Bacterial small subunit ribosomal RNA
Source: RNAcentral
GACGAACGCUGGCGGCGUGCUUAACACAUGCAAGUCGAACGGGCCCGCCCCUGUUUUUGGGGGUGGGUUGAGUGGCGAACGGGUGAGUAUCACGUGAGUAACCUGCCCCCUGCUCCUGGAUAACUGCUUGAAAGGGCGGCUAAUACGGGGUGUGCCGGCUGGUCCGCAUGGGCCUGGUCGGGAUAGUUUCAUCUUCGGGUGUUUCGGUGGGGGAUGGGCUCGCGGCCUAUCAGCUUGUUGGUGGGGUGAUGGCCCACCAAGGCGGUGACGGGUAGCCGGCCUGAGAGGGUGGGCGGCCACCCUGGGACUGAGACACGGCCCAGACUCCUGCGGGAGGCAGCAGUGGGGGGUAUUGCACAAUGGGCGGAAGCCUGAUGCAGCGACGUCGCGUGAGGGAUGGAGGCCUUCGGGUUGUGAACCUCUUUCUCCGGUGGUGAAGGCCCUGUCCGUUGCGGCGGGGUUGACGGUAGCCGGGUAUGAAGCGCCGGCUAACUACGUG